GACGAACGCUGGCGGCGCGCUUAACACAUGCAAGUCGAGCGAGAACCAGGGACUUCGGUCCCUGGGGAAAGCGGCGAACGGGUGAGUAACACGUGGGUAAUCUGCCCUCGGUUCUGGGAUAGCCCGGGGAAACCCGGAUUAAUACCGGAUAGCCUUCCGAGCUCUCGGGCUUGGAAGAAAAGGUAGCUUCGGCCUCCGACCGAGGAGGAGCCUGCGGCGGAUUAGCUUGUUGGCGGGGUAAUGGCCCACCAAGGCGACGAUCCGUAGCUGGUCUGAG
This 277-nucleotide ribosomal RNA is filed under the name uncultured bacterium. RNAcentral's name for it is "partial 16S ribosomal RNA". It matches the Rfam family "Bacterial small subunit ribosomal RNA", at positions 28 to 296 of the family's 1533-position model. The record is from RNAcentral.